Orbicella faveolata is the source of this 1298-nucleotide long non-coding RNA. The record is from RefSeq and is a predicted model, not a curated record. Lineage: Eukaryota; Metazoa; Cnidaria; Anthozoa; Scleractinia; Merulinidae.
ACCGCUCUAGAAUGUAAUUUAACUACUUCUAACUAGUGCUUGCCAGAAAGUAAUACGAUUGUUGCAAUUUCAGAAGUAAUGGAACAAAAAGUCGAGUAUAGUAAACAAAGAAUAUGCGGAUUAGUUUCUCAUUGACACGUAAGGCAAUUCAGUUUUUGUUUUAGCCUGGAAGACAACGUUCCCCACUACGAGAACCUCUCGUUUCGGGCCCCGUCCUCCCUGAUCUGAUGCCAUCUCCCUAAUGCGUUUUCGCCAAUCGUCCACACUGUUAAGAUCAAAAAGACUCACAAAGACCCCAUCCCAUGAAUUUGAUUACUUGUUAUCUUCUUUCUUUCUGUGUAUAUGUGUUUUUUUUUUUAUUAACCCGUAUAUUUUUUGCUAGAUGAAGCAGCUGCCGGAAAGACAGCUUAUGAGCCUCAGACAACUGACACAGGAGCUUCAUAUCCAAGCCUUCCUCCGCCAGGUGUCCCGCCUGGGUUCCAAUGUAUCAGAAAAGUAAAAAAGAUCGGGUCACUACAAAGGAUCACCACAAUAUGCAGACGCCCCUCUAGUGGCAAGACAACGAGGCAACAAACACAGACUCAAACGACGCUAAAAGAAAUUUAAACCGCUGGGAGCCAGAAAUGUCGAAUGAUGCCGAAACAACAUGAACUAUUGAAACAAAUAUGUCUUCAAUCUGACGGAUAUAGUAUAUUCAAAGCCACUUUUUAUUUUAUCUUAAUAAGGCUCGAUACACUUUUUGGAAAUUUUUCGAAACUGUGAUCUAAUGGAGGCUUAUAGUAUUGUACAGUUCGCAAACCGUUUGCUAAGCAAGACAGAAAAAAAAAUGCGAAACGUUUAGGGUCCGAACUGUUCAACAAUAGUUUCUUAUUUCACUUUGCGGCUUCAUGCUUCAGUUCAAAUAAAAAGAAGAAUCAAAUCCAAAAGCAAUUUAUAAAGAUAUCCUGCAUGUGCAUAAUGCGAGAUCUUAAAAAGAGAAACUGAGGGUGAAUUGUAAGUUAUACCCGAUUUUUUUCUCUGACGAAGGGUAUACGCUCAAAACGUCUACACUCCAAAUUCGAUGUACGAAGUUAAUUUGUCGUUGGCCUUGAUAGACAACAUGGUAAUUUACUUGCCUACAUCAACAGUUUCUUUACCGUAAGUAAUUGUCUUGUUCAUUUGUGAAAAAUUAUGGUUUUGAGAGCCGGAAGGUAUGCUGAGCGAAAUUUCGAGUUCCACCUCAAAGAUGAUGAAUUGUUUCCUUUUCACCAGAUGUGAAAUGCGAUUGUGGAUUCCGUCGCACUUGUGUCGGGUAUGUC